Paramuricea clavata is the source of this 1492-nucleotide non-coding RNA. NCBI's taxonomy places the organism in Eukaryota, Metazoa, Cnidaria, Anthozoa, Malacalcyonacea, Plexauridae. The record is from the annotation of a GenBank genome assembly.
AGGGACGGACCAUUAGAAAAGUGAUGGGGGGGGGAGGGGAUUUUCUAAGAGGCAAUAUUUUUUUUUUUUGUACACCUAUAGAAGAAAUAUAUUUUUUUUCUCACUUGAUGGUUGGAAAUAUAUUUUUUUUAAGUGAAAUUUAUAGGCCUAUCAGUGGUGUAGUCCUGGAAUGUUAACAAGGGGGGCUCUCCAAAGUGUCCUGAAUUGGCGUGAGGGGUGUACAAUAAGAUAUUUUGGAAAUUCUAAAUUUUGUUGGGGUUUAUUCUAGAAAUUGUGGGACAAACAUUCGACGUUAUUCUUAUUAAAAACAAAGGGGCUGAAAGCGAGGGCCGAAGGCCCGAGGAAAUUUUUAAAUUUAGAGUCUCUGAAAUGCCAUUUCCUGGACUUUGGGGAAGAUUUGACAGAAUUCUGAUGGUCAGAAAACAGCGUUUUAGUAUGUCGAAAUUUACAAUUUAGUUGUAUUAAAUGGGCGAAGGCGUAUUUAGUUAACUAUAUAUUGGAUAAAUUGCAGGAAAUUAUGGGUAAUAUCUUCAUUCUUUGCAGUUUGUCAUGGAUAAUGUAGCAGCUUACAAUUAAUCAAUUGUCAGUGUUUUAAAGAUAUAUUAUUUAAAUGUAUCGAGUAGCUACAGAUUUGUCCUUGGCACAUAUGGUAAAGACUCUACAAUGUUUGAGCCUCUGACCGUAUAGUGAUGACGUAAACUUUAUAUAGGUCUAUGCGCCGAGGGGACUGACCUAACCAUGGCAGCCUAUACUUGCAAUGGGGGGCGGUGAGCUAACCUGUGCCUUGCCUGCGGUAGGAACGAGUGCUGCCUGCUCUCUCAGGCAAAAUGUCUCUUCACCCUGCUGACGAACGCUAGAGGACACAUGAUUUUGUCAAAAGAAUGAUUAUUAGCAAAUUAUGGGGGGGGGGCUGCAGCCCCAAGCCCCUCCCGUUGAUACAGCCCUGGAUAGAGUUUAAAUCAGACAAAACAGGAUCGGUAUUUCAACAGCCAAUUUGCUACGGCGCAUGAACAACGCGGUAUAAAGAUUACAAAAAUCAUUAUUGUGUUAAAUGAUGACUGAAAAUGAGAUACAAUUCUAAAGAACAUUCUCGUUUAGGGGCGGACCAUUUGACUUUUGAGGGGGGGGGGUGGAAGAUUUCGAAAAAAAAUUUCCUGCAACCCAAGGAGAAAGAAAAAAAAAUCAUGCAGCACACAAUCGAGAAAAAAAAAUAUCAUGCAAAAGAGAGCGCUCAAAAAAAAAUUUUCUACAUGUAACUCUACUGAUGCUCUUCACUUCAGUAUUGUGUCCACAGGCUUGCAAGAUUUUGCAUUUUUGAGCAGGCACAUUUGCUUAAAAGAACACGGGGUGAACAGUGGAUAACAUCACAGGGAUUCUACCGCCUUUGGAGCCUCUGACAUACGAUAGCCAGUGGUGUUCCCUGGCAAAAUUGUUGCCCCCCCCCCCUGAGAAAAUCUGGGCUUAAGAUAAUUAUCCAUGGCUGAAAACGCAG